UACGUAGGCAGCAAGCGUUGUUCGGAGUUACUGGGCGUAAAGGGUGCGUAGGCGGCUUUUUAAGUUUGGUGUGAAAUCUCCCGGCUCAACUGGGAGGGUGCGCCGAAUACUGAGAGGCUAGAGUGCGGGAGAGGAAAGUGGAAUUCCUGGUGUAGCGGUGAAAUGCGUAGAUAUCAGGGGGAACACCGGUGGUGUAAACGGCUUUCUGGACCGUAACUGACGCUGAGGCACGAAAGCGUGGGUAGCAUACAGG
RNAcentral lists this ribosomal RNA (253 nucleotides) under uncultured bacterium. RNAcentral's name for it is "partial 16S ribosomal RNA". It matches the Rfam family "Bacterial small subunit ribosomal RNA", at positions 524 to 776 of the family's 1533-position model. The record is from RNAcentral.